RNAcentral lists this ribosomal RNA (714 nucleotides) under uncultured archaeon. RNAcentral describes it as "bacterial SSU rRNA". It matches the Rfam family "Archaeal small subunit ribosomal RNA", at positions 175 to 873 of the family's 1478-position model. The record is from RNAcentral.
AUGGUCUUCCGCUGAAAGGGUGCAGAAACAUGCUUCUAACACUCGCCUGAGGAUGGGGCCGCGUCCGAUCAGGUUGUUGGUGGGGUAACGGCUCACCAAGCCUAUAACCGGUACGGGCCCUGAGAGGGGGAGCCCGGAGAUGGGAACUGAGACAAGGUCCCAGGCCCUACGGGGCGCAGCAGGCGCGAAAACUCCGCAAUGCGCGAAAGCGUGACGGGGUCACUCCGAGUGCCGUCCGCUGAGGAUGGCUUUUCCUCGGUGUAAGGAGCCGAGGGAAUAAGAGGGGGGCAAGACUGGUGUCAGCCGCCGCGGUAAUACCAGCUCCUCGAGUGGUAGGGACGAUUAUUUGGCCUAAAGCGUUCGUAGCCGGCUUAGCAAGUCUCCCGUUAAAUCCGGCGACUUAAUCGCCGGACCGCGGGAGAUACUUCUAAGCUAGGGGACGGGAGAGGUCGACGGUAUUCCCGGGGUAGGGGCGAAAUCCUAUAAUCCCGGGAGGACCACCGGUGGCGAAGGCGGUCGACCAGAACGUGCCUGACGGUGAGGGACGAAAGCUGGGGGAGCAAACCGGAUUAGAUACCCGGGUAGUCCCAGCCGUAAACGAUGCGGGCUAGGUGUUGGAACGGCUACGAGCCGCUCCGGUGCCGCAGGGAAGCCGUUAAGCCCGCCGCCUGGGGAGUACGGCCGCAAGGCUGAAACUUAAAGGAAUUGGCGGGG